This is a non-coding RNA of Nomascus leucogenys (northern white-cheeked gibbon), 473 nucleotides long. The record is from the annotation of a RefSeq genome assembly. NCBI's taxonomy places the organism in Eukaryota, Metazoa, Chordata, Mammalia, Primates, Hylobatidae.
AGCGCUCUCAGGAUGUCUCCACCAUGGCCUGGGCUCUGCUCCUCCUCACCCUCCUCACUCAGGGCACAGGGUCCUGGGCCCAGUCUGCCCUGACUCAGCCUCGCUCAGUGUCUGGGUCUCCUGGACAGUCGGUCACCAUCUCCUGCACUGGAACCAGCAGUGACGUUGGUGGUUAUAACUAUGUCUCCUGGUACCAGCAGCACCCAGGCACAGCCCCCAAACUCAUGAUUUAUGAUGUCAGUAAGCGGCCCUCAGGGGUCUCUGAUCGUUUCUCUGGCUCCAAGUCUGGCAACACGGCCUCCCUGACCAUCUCUGGGCUCCAGGCUGAGGACGAGGCUGAUUAUUACUGCUGCUCAUAUGCAAGCGACGACACUUUCCACAGUGGUCCAAGUUCCUGGGGAACUGAGACAAAAACCUGCCCUGGGCUCAGGCUCUCUUUUUGCUCUGAAGAUGCUUCCUCACCAGGUGCAUGA